AGUGAACGCUGGCGGUAGGCCUAACACAUGCAAGUCGAACGGCAGCACAGUAAGAGCUUGCUCUUACGGGUGGCGAGUGGCGGACGGGUGAGGAAUACAUCGGAAUCUACUUUUUCGUGGGGGAUAACGUAGGGAAACUUACGCUAAUACCGCAUACGACCUACGGGUGAAAGCAGGGGAUCUUCGGACCUUGCGCGAUUGAAUGAGCCGAUGUCGGAUUAGCUAGUUGGCGGGGUAAAGGCCCGCCAAGGCGACGAUCCGUAGCUGGUCUGAGAGGAUGAUCAGCCACACUGGAACUGAGACACGGUCCAGACUCCUACGGGAGGCAGCAGUGGGGAAUAUUGGACAAUGGGCGCAAGCCUGAUCCAGCCAUACCGCGUGGGUGAAGAAGGCCUUCGGGUUGUAAAGCCCUUUUGUUGGGAAAGAAAAGCAGCAGGUUAAUACCCCGCUGUUCUGACGGUACCCAAAGAAUAAGCACCGGCUAACUCCGUG
RNAcentral lists this ribosomal RNA (492 nucleotides) under uncultured bacterium. RNAcentral describes it as "partial 16S ribosomal RNA". It matches the Rfam family "Bacterial small subunit ribosomal RNA", at positions 29 to 507 of the family's 1533-position model. The record is from RNAcentral.